GAUGAAGAACGUAGCGAAAUGCGAUAGGUAGUGUGAAUUGCAGAUGUAACGUGAAUCAUCGAAUCUUUGAACGCAAAUUGCACUCUCUGGUAUUCCGGGGAGUAUGCCUGUUUGAGGGUCGCCAAAUCAACAUCGAAAUUCAUUUGCUUUUUGCAAAUGUUUAUCGGAUUUGAGCCGUCUUUUUAUUUUUUUUUUAAAGUGGUUUAAAAUGUAUUUUUUUGGUAUCGAAAUACGUUAUUUUACGAUCCAUCGAUCAAAAAACAAACGUUUCGAAUGCCGUCUUUUAAUGUAAUACGUUUGACUGUGUAUACAAUCAUGGUUUCAUUCGUAUACGAGUUUUUAAUUUUUGACCUCAAAUCAGGUAAGAACACCCGCUGAACUUAAGCAUAUCAAUAAGCGGAGGA
Molecule: unclassified non-coding RNA, 404 nt
Filed under: soil metagenome
Description: partial contains 5.8S ribosomal RNA, internal transcribed spacer 2, and large subunit ribosomal RNA
Rfam family: 5.8S ribosomal RNA (bases 1-121)
Source: RNAcentral